AAGGAUUCCCCUAGUAACGGCGAGUGAAGCGGGAAGAGCUCAAGCUUAAAAUCUCCGUGCAAGUUUUGCGCGGCGAAUUGUAGUCUAUAGAGGCGUGGUCAGUGUGAGCGCUCGGGGCAAGUUCCUUGGAAGAGGACAGCAUGGAGGGUGAUACUCCCGUUCAUCCCUGAGUGGCUUAUGCGUACGACCCGUGUUCUUUGAGUCGCGUUGUUUGGGAAUGCAGCGCAAAGUAGGUGGUAAAUUCCAUCUAAAGCUAAAUAUUGGUGCGAGACCGAUAGCGAACAAGUACCGUGAGGGAAAGAUGAAAAGAACUUUGAAAAGAGAGUUAAAGAGUACCUGAAACUGCUGAAAGGGAACCGAAUCGUUUCCAGUGUCUAUAAUCCGUGGCAUAUUUCAUUGGCGAGUGUGUGCGCGCGUGCGCUGUGGCAGCGGCUUUUUUGGCUGCGCUCGGUGCGUGUGUUGUGUGUGUUUGCUGGUGCCCUGUGCUGCGGUGGGACGUCAAGGUCAGUUCGUAUGCUGCGGGAAAUGGCUGCCGAGGAGGUAGGGCUUACGCUCUGCGUUUGUCUAUUAUAUCUUGGUGGACGAGUCGUCGCGGUUGGGACUGAGGUGCCUACAACGUGCUUUUGAGUGGGUGUGUGUCUCCGUGUGCGCCGUGUGCGGAUAGCUUGCUAUGCGUGUGUGGUUGUGUGUGGAUUGAUGCGUGUCUUAACUUGUCGCCGUUCGGGACGUUGACGAAAUGGAGCGAUCCGACCCGUCUUGAAACACGGACCAAGGAGUCUAACAUGUGUGCAAGUGUUAGGGUGUGGAAACCCCAGCGCGAAAUGAAAGUGAAGGGCAGCGCAAGUUGUCUGAGGUAGGAAACGUUGCGGGCUUCGGUCUGCGGCGUGGCACUAUCGACCGAUCAUGAACCUUCGUGGUGAAAGAUUUGAGUUUGAGCACAUAUGUUGGUACCCGAAAGAUGGUGAACUAUGCCUGAGUAGGGUGAAGCCAGGGGAAACUCUGGUGGAAGCUCGUAGCGAUUCUGACGUGCAAAUCGAUCGUCAAACUUGGGUAUAGGGCG
This 1060-nucleotide ribosomal RNA is filed under the name Phytophthora moyootj. RNAcentral's name for it is "eukaryotic LSU rRNA". It matches the Rfam family "Eukaryotic large subunit ribosomal RNA", at positions 70 to 925 of the family's 3401-position model. Lineage: Eukaryota; Oomycota; Peronosporomycetes; Peronosporales; Peronosporaceae. The record is from RNAcentral.